This 252-nucleotide ribosomal RNA is filed under the name uncultured bacterium. RNAcentral describes it as "partial 16S ribosomal RNA". It matches the Rfam family "Bacterial small subunit ribosomal RNA", at positions 527 to 779 of the family's 1533-position model. The record is from RNAcentral.
CGGAGGGGCUAGCGUUGUUCGGAAUUACUGGGCGUAAAGCGCACGUAGGCGGAUUGGAAAGUUGGGGUGAAAUCCCGGGGCUCAACCCCGGAACUGCCUCCAAAACUAUCAGUCUUGAGUUCGAGAGAGGUGAGUGGAAUUCCGAGUGUAGAGGUGAAAUUCGUAGAUAUUCGGAGGAACACCAGUGGCGAAGGCGGCUCACUGGCUCGAUACUGACGCUGAGGUGCGAAAGCGUGGGGAGCAAACAGGAUU